RNAcentral lists this ribosomal RNA (447 nucleotides) under uncultured bacterium. RNAcentral describes it as "partial 16S ribosomal RNA". It matches the Rfam family "Bacterial small subunit ribosomal RNA", at positions 330 to 793 of the family's 1533-position model. The record is from RNAcentral.
CCCAGACUCCUACGGGAGGCAGCAGUGGGGAAUAUUGCACAAUGGGGGGAACCCUGAUGCAGCGACGCCGCGUGGGUGAAGGAGCGUUUCGGCGCGUAAAGCCCUAUCGGCAGGGAAGAGGGAGGACGGUACCUGACUAAGAAGCCCCGGCUAACUACGUGCCAGCAGCCGCGGUAAUACGUAGGGGGCAAGCGUUAUCCGGAUUUACUGGGUGUAAAGGGGGCGCAGACGGCAGCGCAAGCCAGGAGUGAAAGCCCGGGGCCCAACCCCGGGACUGCUCUUGGAACUGCGCGGCUGGAGUGCAGGAGGGGCAGGCGGAAUUCCUGGUGUAGCGGUGAAAUGCGUAGAUAUCAGGAGGAACACCGGUGGCGAAGGCGGCCUGCUGGACUGCGACUGACGUUGAGGCCCGAAAGCGUGGGGAGCAAACAGGAUUAGAUACCCCCAUAA